Molecule: long non-coding RNA, 832 nt
Filed under: Nannospalax galili (Upper Galilee mountains blind mole rat)
Lineage: Eukaryota; Metazoa; Chordata; Mammalia; Rodentia; Spalacidae
Description: lncRNA (ENSNGAG00000024612.1)
Source: RNAcentral
GGGAGAGCUUGGGGACCAGGUCUGCUCCCAGGUCAUGUUCCCUGUGACUUCCUUCUUCCAAUCAGGUUCCAUUGCCACCUCACAACAACGUCAUUAAAUUACAAAUCCGUCAGGGGAUUAAGUCACCAGCGAAGGCAGAGUCUGUCCUAAGGUUCCAGGCUUCUCAUCAAAGCCCCAGAUCUCAAUGCUGCUGCUGGAGCAUCCAAACAGUCAGCACAUGAGCUUUGAAGAGACACGUCAUAUCCGAACCAGGACAGAGUCACAGGCAGCAAACACCGUGGUCCUCAGUGUAUCUGCCUCUGGUUUCUUCGGAGGAUUGGGUUACAGAAUUCAUCCUGUGUUUGCCAGGUCUCAUCUCUGUCACAUGUUAAGCCACCCCUCCUUUGCGCUCCCACCUCAUACUGCCAGAGCCUUUUGUGCUCCAAGUGUGCCCCUUUCCAGCAGCUCUUCUCAGAGGCUGGUCCCCUGGCCUUGCCUUCCCCUGGCUCAGCCAUUCUAGGGGUGAUGAGGUAGUUGAGUCCCAGGACUAUGUUUAUAUUUCUGAAGUCCAAGCCACACAAGUAGUGAACAGCUGGCCGUCAAGAGGCUGAAGGGUCUCAAGCAGCCCAGCUGCUCCUCACCCAUCACGUCCUCCUGGAGAACUGGGAGGCAGAGCUACCGGAAACUGGUUGUUAACCCUGAGUCUUCCCUCUGAGCAUGGUGCUCUUUGAAGUUUCUGGACUCAGAGAUGGUCUGUGGGGCUGAUUCUCUGGGGAAUGGGGAUGGAGGUGGGAGCUCUGAUUGGAAAGAACAAGGAGAGAUAUGACGUAAACUGUGAAUGGUCUGGGAGAGA